Molecule: long non-coding RNA, 1595 nt
Organism: Pogoniulus pusillus (Red-fronted tinkerbird)
Lineage: Eukaryota; Metazoa; Chordata; Aves; Piciformes; Lybiidae
Exons: 3
Source: RefSeq, a predicted model, not a curated record
GUCUUGCAAGAAUCAUUUGUUAUGUGGCAGGAAAAAAAGGCAUUCAAUUGACAGGGAGGGGGAAAAAAAAGCCUGCAAAGACAACAGACCAGGCAUUUCUUACCUGCACCUCGAGCAACUCUUUGCAGAUUCCAGGAUCUGGCAGAACUUAAGAGGAGGACGAAUGAAAUUAACGUUACCCACUUCAUGGCUGCGAAUUAUGAGGCCAGUUACUCUUGAAAUUUCUAUCCUUUGGUCCCUGGAUCUAGGAUAACCCCAGCUACCUUCUGCACUUUUGGACACAGGAAAUGUUGGCAUGAAGCACAGGACAGACAACAGAAGAUAUCUGGAGAUAAACAUGGACCCUGUAUUUCAGACUUACACAUUAACUCCAGGGGAGCAGCAGGGUUCUUGCUAACACUGCACAAUGCUGUGGGGGGAAAAUUCCAGCCAGCUUUCGUGGCACAAAGAGAGGCUCCUCCUGGUGCUCAAUUUCAGCCUGACAGACUGUACUUUCUCUCCCAGCCCUUAGCUGGCACCUCCUGAAGUCUGCUUUGAUGCAGCCUGAGAGCAUUUCCAGUGCUGUGCUAAGGCAUCGUUUGCCACCACCGCCACAUUUUGGCCCCACCUGGGCAGUGCUCCAGCCUGGUUGUCUCUGGCAGUCCCUUCAUGGCUAUCAACAGCACACCUCAGUGUGUGGUUGUAUCUCCCUGCCUGCUCAGGUUGGAAAGGAGAGCCAGGCUCAGGACAGAGGUAAAGAAGCUGAUGGCUGCAAGGCAGCUCUGUUGUGCUUUUCCAGGGCAUCAGAAGGUCCUUGUCAGGCUGCUGAGCUAGCUCCUUGCAUGCAUUUCACCUGAGAUCUUGGGGAAAGCAUUGCUGAGCCUCUCUAGCUACCAUUCCCCCUCUCACCAGUGCCAGCAGAGUUCCAGAAGCACAGAAGUUCCCAGACCCAGCAUGCUGACCUAGCCCAAAGGCACUGUGCAAAAGCAGAUGUAAUUGCAAGGUAGUCUUCAGCCAUUCCGAGGCUUCCAGGUUAACCCAAAGGCUCCAUGGUUCAGUAAGGGGCUCUUUUCUGGCAGAGGGAUGGGGUCAGUAAGGCCAAGGUCAGCCUGAAGUGUUGAAGCAGCCCUUUCCUGGGAUUUUGUCAGGCUGAAGCAGCACAGGUCUGACAGGGCCACUGUCGCUCCCAGCACUCUCCAGAGAGUGAGGAUUCUGUGGAAAAACACCUGGAAAUACUGCCUGGUUCUGACACAGUGACAAAAGCUGGGGGCUCCUCCUCAAAAGCUGGACUUCCCCUACCAUCCUUCAUGAAAGAGUUAUCCACACAGCCCUGAGAUCCUAAAACAGAGCCUUGCUCCUUUACAUCACUAAAGAGUUAUCCACACAGCCCUGAGAUCCUAAAACAGAGCCUUGAUCCUUUACAUCACUAACCAGAAGUUUGCCUUGCACUUGCUGAGAUGUCAGCAGCAGGCUGGGGACAGUGCACACAGCUCCUACAAAUCUCUGUACCCUUUCUGUGGCUCCUCCCAGAGAGCAGAGAGGUCUUUCUGAAGGAGUAGGGGCACUGCCUGGUCAAUCAUUUGUCCUGGCAGACAACAGGAUGACCACAAGCCAGG